RNAcentral lists this ribosomal RNA (890 nucleotides) under Staphylococcus aureus SJOS6145. RNAcentral describes it as "bacterial SSU rRNA". It matches the Rfam family "Bacterial small subunit ribosomal RNA", at positions 8 to 879 of the family's 1533-position model. RNAcentral also lists the same sequence under 1 other name. Lineage: Bacteria; Bacillati; Bacillota; Bacilli; Caryophanales; Staphylococcaceae. The record is from RNAcentral.
AGAGUUUGAUCCUGGCUCAGGAUGAACGCUGGCGGCGUGCCUAAUACAUGCAAGUCGAGCGAACGGACGAGAAGCUUGCUUCUCUGAUGUUAGCGGCGGACGGGUGAGUAACACGUGGAUAACCUACCUAUAAGACUGGGAUAACUUCGGGAAACCGGAGCUAAUACCGGAUAAUAUUUUGAACCGCAUGGUUCAAAAGUGAAAGACGGUCUUGCUGUCACUUAUAGAUGGAUCCGCGCUGCAUUAGCUAGUUGGUAAGGUAACGGCUUACCAAGGCAACGAUGCAUAGCCGACCUGAGAGGGUGAUCGGCCACACUGGAACUGAGACACGGUCCAGACUCCUACGGGAGGCAGCAGUAGGGAAUCUUCCGCAAUGGGCGAAAGCCUGACGGAGCAACGCCGCGUGAGUGAUGAAGGUCUUCGGAUCGUAAAACUCUGUUAUUAGGGAAGAACAUAUGUGUAAGUAACUGUGCACAUCUUGACGGUACCUAAUCAGAAAGCCACGGCUAACUACGUGCCAGCAGCCGCGGUAAUACGUAGGUGGCAAGCGUUAUCCGGAAUUAUUGGGCGUAAAGCGCGCGUAGGCGGUUUUUUAAGUCUGAUGUGAAAGCCCACGGCUCAACCGUGGAGGGUCAUUGGAAACUGGAAAACUUGAGUGCAGAAGAGGAAAGUGGAAUUCCAUGUGUAGCGGUGAAAUGCGCAGAGAUAUGGAGGAACACCAGUGGCGAAGGCGACUUUCUGGUCUGUAACUGACGCUGAUGUGCGAAAGCGUGGGGAUCAAACAGGAUUAGAUACCCUGGUAGUCCACGCCGUAAACGAUGAGUGCUAAGUGUUAGGGGGUUUCCGCCCCUUAGUGCUGCAGCUAACGCAUUAAGCACUCCGCCUGGGGA